CCUACGGGGGGCUGCAGUGAGGAAUAUUUGUCAAUGGACGAGAGUCUGAUCCAGCCAAGUAGCGUGAAGGAUGACUGCCCUAUGGGUUGUAAACUUCUUUUAUAUGGGAAUAAAAUGUUCCACGUGUGGGAUUUUGUAUGUACCAUAUGAAUAAGGAUCGGGUAACUCCGUGCCAGCAGCCGUGGUAAUACGGAGGAUCCGAGCGUUAUCGGGAUUUAUUGGGUGUAAAGGUCGCGUAGGGGGAUUGUUAAGGCAGUUGUGAAAGUUUGGGGCUCAACCGUAAAAUUGCAGUUGAAACUGGCAGUCUUGAGUACAGUAGAGGUGGGCGGAAUUCGUGGUGUAGCAGUGAAAUGCUUAGAUAUCGCGAAGAACUCCGAUUGCGAAGGCAGCUCACUGGACUGCAACUGACACUGAGGCUCGAAAGUGUGGGUAUCAAACAGGAUUAGAUACCCCAGUAGUC
Molecule: ribosomal RNA, 460 nt
Filed under: uncultured bacterium
Lineage: Bacteria
Description: partial 16S ribosomal RNA
Rfam family: Bacterial small subunit ribosomal RNA
Source: RNAcentral